CAGUCCCGUUAGUAAUAUUGUAAACGUGCUUCUCUGAACUUUUUAUACACUCACUUCUGCACGAAAUCCUCUUCCCCGCACUAAAAGUGAGUUCUCAGAGCAAAUGCAAAAAGGGGGCCAGUCGACACCAAAAUGGCAAAGUUCAUCUCGAAAAAACUGACUUACAAAGGGGCACAAGGCUUUGUGAUUAUAGAAUUGAGGGAAAAGAACGACAACUGCAGUUGAGGUAGGAGUGUGAGAGUGUGUUUUUUGUAUCGCCUAUAUUUGAGUGUUUAAAAGAUUUUAUUUGCGGCGCUUGUGCUGACAACGCACAAGCUCUUGGUCAUGGUCUGGGAAACUUUGCUAUUGUACAUGGAACACUGAACACAAGAACAUUAUUUGCCGUUAUACUGAUAUAAUAGAGGACUAACAAACAAAUGUAGGAACAAGAGCGGGUGCGGGAAACCGGAAAACAACUGGACAAGAGUUCACGUGAGAAAUAUGGGUGUAAAAUGCAAAACAAUGCUUACAUCUUUUCUCCUUCAUGGUUCACUAAAAAGUGAGAGGCCAGAUUUCCUUGCCCUUUCUGGCUUGCCGGCAUCAGAGGUCUACUUAAAGGUGUCUGAACAGAAUAAGGUGUGAAUCUGAGAGCUUUUCUACCAAAUGAAGUGCCGGCAGAGAGAGAAAUAAAGAGAUCUACAGCAGUCAGGGGUCAG
Molecule: long non-coding RNA, 695 nt
Filed under: Salmo salar (Atlantic salmon)
Lineage: Eukaryota; Metazoa; Chordata; Actinopteri; Salmoniformes; Salmonidae
Description: lncRNA (ENSSSAG00000087593.1, ENSSSAG00020066452.1, ENSSSAG00075065523.1)
Source: RNAcentral